GAUGAACGCUGGCGGCGUGCCUAAUACAUGCAAGUCGAGCGAACAGAUAAGGAGCUUGCUCCUUUGACGUUAGCGGCGGACGGGUGAGUAACACGUGUGUAACCUAUCUAUAAUACUGGAAUAACUCCGGGAAACCGGGUCUAAUGCCGGAUAACAUGUUGAACCGCAUGGUUCUACAGUGAAAGGCGGCUUUGCUGUCACUUAUAGAUGGACCCGCGCCGUAUUAGCUAGUUGGUGGGGUAACGGCUCACCAAGGCAACGAUACGUAGCCGACCUGAGAGGGUGAUCGGCGACACUGGAACGGGGACACGGUCCAGACGCCUACGGGAGGCAGCAGUCGGGAACCGUCCGCAAUGGGCGAAAGCCUGACGGAGCAACGCCGCGUGAGUGAUGACGGUCUCCGGAUCGUAAAACUCUGUUAUUAGGGAAGAACAAAUGCGUAAGUAAAUGUGCGCGUCUUGACGGUACCUAAUCAGAAAGCCACGGCUAACUACGUG
This 497-nucleotide ribosomal RNA is filed under the name uncultured bacterium. RNAcentral's name for it is "partial 16S ribosomal RNA". It matches the Rfam family "Bacterial small subunit ribosomal RNA", at positions 28 to 507 of the family's 1533-position model. The record is from RNAcentral.